GAUUAUGGCUCAGGAUGAACGCUAGCUACAGGCUUAACACAUGCAAGUCGAGGGGUAGCAGGAUCUAGCAAUAGAUUGCUGACGACCGGCGCACGGGUGAGUAACACGUAUCCAACCUUCCGUUUACUCGGGGAUAGCCUUUCGAAAGAAAGAUUAAUACCCGAUAGUAUGCUUUUCCCGCAUGGGAGAAUCAUUAAAGUUUUUCGGUAAUCGAUGGGGAUGCGUUCCAUUAGGCAGUUGGUGAGGUAACGGCUCACCAAACCUUCGAUGGAUAGGGGUUCUGAGAGGAAGGUCCCCCACAUUGGAACUGAGACACGGUCCAAACUCCUACGGGAGGCAGCAGUGAGGAAUAUUGGUCAAUGGACGAGAGUCUGAACCAGCCAAGUAGCCGUGAAGGAUGACUGCCCUAUGGGUUGUAAACUUCUUUUAUAUGGGAAUAAAGGAGCCUACGUGUAGGUUUUUGUAUGUACCAUACGAAUAAGGAUCGGCUAACUCCGUGCCAGCCGCGGC
RNAcentral lists this ribosomal RNA (510 nucleotides) under uncultured bacterium. RNAcentral's name for it is "bacterial SSU rRNA". It matches the Rfam family "Bacterial small subunit ribosomal RNA", at positions 15 to 518 of the family's 1533-position model. The record is from RNAcentral.